Molecule: ribosomal RNA, 194 nt
Filed under: uncultured bacterium
Lineage: Bacteria
Description: partial 16S ribosomal RNA
Rfam family: Bacterial small subunit ribosomal RNA
Source: RNAcentral
CAACUCGCCUGCAUGAAGUCGGAAUUGCUAGUAAUCGCAGAUCAGCAUGCUGCGGUGAAUACGUUCCCGGGCCUUGUACACACCGCCCGUCACACCAUGGGAGUCGGUAACACCCAAAGUUGGUAGCCCUAACCGCAAGGAGGGCGCCGCCUAAGGUGGGAUUGAUGACUGGGGUGAAGUCGUAACAAGGUAUC